UAGCCGUAAACGAUACUCGCUAGGUGUCGGCCACGGUGCGACCGUUGUCGGUGCCGUAGGGAAGCCGUGAAGCGAGCCACCUGGGAAGUACGGCCGCAAGGCUGAAACUUAAAGGAAUUGGCGGGGGAGCACCACAACGGGCGGAGCUUGCGGUUUAAUUGGAUUCAACGCCGGAAAUCUUACCGGGACCGACAGCAACAUGAAGGCCAGGCUGAAGACUUUGCCGGAUUAGCUGAGAGGAGGUGCAUGGCGUAGUCGUGU
RNAcentral lists this ribosomal RNA (261 nucleotides) under uncultured archaeon. RNAcentral describes it as "partial 16S ribosomal RNA". It matches the Rfam family "Archaeal small subunit ribosomal RNA", at positions 748 to 1009 of the family's 1478-position model. The record is from RNAcentral.